This 255-nucleotide ribosomal RNA is filed under the name uncultured prokaryote. Its description in RNAcentral is "partial 16S ribosomal RNA". It matches the Rfam family "Bacterial small subunit ribosomal RNA", at positions 524 to 776 of the family's 1533-position model. The record is from RNAcentral.
UACGUAGGGUGCAAGCAUUAUCCGGAGUGACUGGGCGUAAAGAGUUGCGUAGGUGGUUUGUUAAGUAGGUAGUGAAAUCUGGCGGCUCAACCGUACAGGCUAUUACCUAAACUGGCAAACUCGAGAAUGGUAGAGGUAACUGGAAUUUCUUGUGUAGGAGUGAAAUCCGUAGAUAUAAGAAGGAACACCAAUGGCGUAGGCAGGUUACUGGACCAUUUCUGACACUGAGGCACGAAAGCGUGGGGAGCGAACGGG